Molecule: ribosomal RNA, 253 nt
Filed under: uncultured bacterium
Lineage: Bacteria
Description: partial 16S ribosomal RNA
Rfam family: Bacterial small subunit ribosomal RNA
Source: RNAcentral
UACGGAGGGAGCUAGCGUUGUUCGGAAAUACUGGGCGUAAAGCGCACGUAGGCGGCGCAGCAAGUCAGGGGUGAAAUCCCGGGGCUCAACCCCGGAACUGCCCUUGAAACUGCAGUGCUAGAAUUCUGGAGAGGCGAGUGGAAUUCCGAGUAUAGAGGUGAAAUUCGUAGAUAUUCGGAAGAACACCAGUGGCGAAGGCGGCUAUCUGGACGGUUUCUGACGCUAAGACGCGAAAGCGUGGGGAGCAAACAGG